AGUGAACGCUGGCGGUAGGCCUAACACAUGCAAGUCGAACGGCAGCACAGUAAGAGCUUGCUCUUACGGGUGGCGAGUGGCGGACGGGUGAGGAAUACAUCGGAAUCUGCUUUUUCGUGGGGGAUAACGUAGGGAAACUUACGCUAAUACCGCAUACGACCUACGGAUGAAAGCAGGGGAUCUUCGGACCUUGCGCGAUUGAAUGAGCCGAUGUCGGAUUAGCUAGUUGGCGGGGUAAAGGCCCACCAAGGCGACGAUCCGUAGCUGGUCUGAGAGGAUGAUCAGCCACACUGGAACUGAGACACGGUCCAGACUCCUACGGGAGGCAGCAGUGGGGAAUAUUGGACAAUGGGCGCAAGCCUGAUCCAGCCAUACCGCGUGGGUGAAGAGGGCCUUCGGGUUGUAAAGCCCUUUUGUUGGGAAAGAAAAGCAGCAGGUUAAUACCCCGCUGUUCUGACGGUACCCAAAGAAUAAGCACCGGCUAACUUCGUG
This 492-nucleotide ribosomal RNA is filed under the name uncultured bacterium. RNAcentral's name for it is "partial 16S ribosomal RNA". It matches the Rfam family "Bacterial small subunit ribosomal RNA", at positions 29 to 507 of the family's 1533-position model. The record is from RNAcentral.